AGAAGAGUCUGAUGAUUUUGAUGGGGAUCCUUUUGUCCCCAAUGAUUUCGCCGAGGACGAUUCUUUCCAAGCUUCAGAGGAAGGUUCAAUGGAUGAUCCUGAUUUUGACAAAGCUUUGUAUGAUUUCUAUGUGUCGCAUGUAAGCAUGUUAUUGUAAUUAUUGCAUUUUGUUCCAGUUUUCAUUUAUGUUUGUUUUUAUUGUAUAAUUCAUUGCCUGUUUAUAUAUCUUGCAAAAAGCGAAUUGCCUGAAACGGAAGAUAACAGAUGUUGGAGCUCGCAAUGUGGUAUUUAUGUUUCUUUGUUCUAUUCGCAUUUUCUGUACCCAACUACCACUCUGAUAGAGAUAGAUAUAAGUUUGAGAUA
Molecule: long non-coding RNA, 363 nt
Organism: Triticum dicoccoides
Lineage: Eukaryota; Viridiplantae; Streptophyta; Magnoliopsida; Poales; Poaceae
Exons: 2
Source: RefSeq, a predicted model, not a curated record